GAUGAAGAACGUAGCGAAAUGCGAUACUUGGUGUGAAUUGCAGAAUCCCGUGAACCAUCGAGUCUUUGAACGCAAGUUGCGCCCGAAGCCAUUAGGCCGAGGGCACGCCUGCCUGGGCGUCACACGUCGUUGCCCCCCCAUCUACUCCUUCGGGAUUGCGGGGGGCGGAUGAUGGCCUCCCGUGCGCCUCGUCGCGCGGUUGGCCUAAAUGCCAAGUCCUCGGCGACGCACGCCACGACAAUCGGUGGUUGCGAAACCUCGGUUGCCUGUCGUGUGCGGUCGUCGCGCAUCGAGGGCUCGAAAAAAUUGCCGGGCUUCGGCUCGACUUUCAACGCGACCCCAGGUCAGGCGGGGUUACCCGCUGAAUUUAAGCAUAUCAAUAAGCGAGGA
This 390-nucleotide unclassified non-coding RNA is filed under the name soil metagenome. RNAcentral's name for it is "partial contains 5.8S ribosomal RNA, internal transcribed spacer 2, and large subunit ribosomal RNA". The stretch from base 1 to 122 matches the Rfam family "5.8S ribosomal RNA", at positions 35 to 154 of the family's 154-position model. The record is from RNAcentral.